GUCAACAACAAGGUCACAAUGGUACAUAUAGAUCAAAAAAAGUAAGCAGCAGAGUCUUAGCAGUCGAAAAUCUGUUCUAUAUGUCACCGGAAGGUAAGGCACUGGUAGGAUCCUAACAAAAGGGGCAGUAAAUCGUCAUAGAACAACUCUAUGAAGUUUUUUCUUCUGCAGCGGCUUCAAAUGUCUGCCCUGGCACAAGUUCAGGGACAUCUUCAUCGUCCUCCUCCGGGAUGGUACCACCGCCCGGAACCUGCUUCUGGAACUGCUCAGCAAGCCUCCGAAGGUUGUCCAAGUUAUCAGGACCGAGUUGGUUGAUUAUUGAAGGCAGUAUAUCCUGGAGUCUCUUCGUCUGGGGGGAGCCGC
RNAcentral lists this unclassified non-coding RNA (363 nucleotides) under Hevea brasiliensis (rubber tree). The record is from RNAcentral. Lineage: Eukaryota; Viridiplantae; Streptophyta; Magnoliopsida; Malpighiales; Euphorbiaceae.